UAGUAUGGGGAUCUGCCCGAUAGAGGGGGAUAACUACUGGAAACGGUGGCUAAUACCGCAUAAUGUCUACGGACCAAAGCAGGGGCUCUUCGGACCUUGCACUAUCGGAUGAACCCAUAUGGGAUUAGCUAGUAGGUGGGGUAAAGGCUCACCUAGGCGACGAUCUCUAGCUGGUCUGAGAGGAUGAUCAGCCACACUGGGACUGAGACACGGCCCAG
Molecule: ribosomal RNA, 218 nt
Filed under: uncultured bacterium
Lineage: Bacteria
Description: partial 16S ribosomal RNA
Rfam family: Bacterial small subunit ribosomal RNA
Source: RNAcentral